Budorcas taxicolor (takin) is the source of this 461-nucleotide long non-coding RNA. RefSeq lists it as uncharacterized. The record is from RefSeq and is a predicted model, not a curated record. Lineage: Eukaryota; Metazoa; Chordata; Mammalia; Artiodactyla; Bovidae. The transcript has 2 exons.
CCCACUCUUCAAUCCAAUAACCAAAACAUACUAAAACAAAACAUUUACCCCUAUUAAAGUAUAGGAGAUAGAAAUUCUAAACAUGGCGCUAUAGAGAAAGUACCGUAAGGGAACGAUGAAAGAAAAUAAUCAAAGUACAAAAAAGCAAAGAUUAACCCUUGUACCUUUUGCAUAAUGAAUUAACGAGCAAAAAACUUAACAAAACGAAUUUCAGCUAAGUAACCCGAAACCAGACGAGCUACCUAUAGACAGUUUAUUAGAACCAACUCAUCUAUGUGGCAAAAUAGUGAGAAGAUCUAUAAGUAGAGGUGACAUGCCUAACGAGCCUGGUGAUAGCUGGUUGUCCAGAAAAUGAAUCUUAGUUCAGCUUUAAAGAUACCAAAAAAUAUAAACAAAUCUCACUGUAUCUUUAAAAGUUAGUCUAAAAAGGUACAGCCUUUUAGAAAUGGGUACAACCUUCA